UACGUAGGGUGCAAGCGUUAAUCGGAAUUACUGGGCGUAAAGCGUGCGCAGGCGGUUUUGUAAGUCUGAUGUGAAAUCCCCGGGCUCAACCUGGGAAUUGCAUUGGAGACUGCAAGGCUAGAAUCUGGCAGAGGGGGGUAGAAUUCCACGUGUAGCAGUGAAAUGCGUAGAUAUGUGGAGGAACACCGAUGGCGAAGGCAGCCCCCUGGGUCAAGAUUGACGCUCAUGCACGAAAGCGUGGGGAGCAAACAGG
This 253-nucleotide ribosomal RNA is filed under the name uncultured bacterium. RNAcentral describes it as "partial 16S ribosomal RNA". It matches the Rfam family "Bacterial small subunit ribosomal RNA", at positions 524 to 776 of the family's 1533-position model. The record is from RNAcentral. RNAcentral also lists the same sequence under 2 other names.